RNAcentral lists this ribosomal RNA (410 nucleotides) under uncultured bacterium. RNAcentral's name for it is "bacterial SSU rRNA". It matches the Rfam family "Bacterial small subunit ribosomal RNA", at positions 370 to 772 of the family's 1533-position model. The record is from RNAcentral.
AAUGCGCGAAAGCGUGACGCAGCAACACCGCGUGAGGGAAGACGGCCUUCGGGUUGUAAACCUCUUUCAGGAGGGACGAAGGGCGACCGGUGAACAGCCGUGUCGCUUGACGGUACCUCCAGAAGAAGCACCGGCUAACUACGUGCCAGCAGCCGCGGUAAUACGUAGGGUGCAAGCGUUGUCCGGAAUCAUUGGGCGUAAAGCGCGCGUAGGCGGCCCGAUAAGUCCGCUGUAAAAGUCAACGGCUCAACUGUUGAAAGCCGGUGGAUACUGUCGGGCUAGAGUACGGAAGAGGCAAGUGGAAUUCCUGGUGUAGCGGUGGAAUGCGCAGAUAUCAGGAGGAACACCUAUAGCGAAGGCAGCUUGCUGGGACGUUACUGACGCUGAGGCGCGAAAGCGUGGGGAGCGAA